GGAUGGGAGAGCAGUCUCAAGUAGUGACCCUCUCACCCCCAAGCCACCUUCUUGUUCUCAGUGGUUCUUCAACUGGAGCCUGCUUCAGGGCAGGCCUGGGAGCUUCUGAAAAGAUUGCCGCCUCCCACCCCAAGUUUCUGAUUUGGUAUCGCUAGCUUGUGGGACUCUCUGGAUGCUUCUGCUGCUGCUGCUGCUAAGUCACUUCAGUUGUGUCUGACUCUGUGCAACCCCAGAGACGGCAGCCCACCAGGCUCCCCCGUCCCUGGGAUUCUCCAGGCAAGAACACUGGAGUGGGUUGCCAUUUCCUUCUCCAAUGCAUGAAAGUGAAAAGUGAAAGUGAAGUCGCUCAGCCGUGUCCGACUCCUAGCGACCCCAUGGACUGCAGCCUAUCAGGCUCCUCCGCCCAUGAGAUUUUCCAGGCAAGAGUACUGGAGUGGGGUGCCAUUGCCUUCUCCCUGGAUGCUUCUAAUGUGCUCCAUCAGCCAGGCCUGACGAAGCUUGAGUUCAAGGGCUUUUCCAGGGUAGACUCCUCCCCUCACCACCCAUCAUCAC
Bos taurus (domestic cattle) is the source of this 552-nucleotide long non-coding RNA. The record is from Ensembl. NCBI's taxonomy places the organism in Eukaryota, Metazoa, Chordata, Mammalia, Artiodactyla, Bovidae.